CCGGUGUGGGGUUCUGGGCUCCUCUGGACACGUGGGGAGCUUCAGCAGCCUGCACGACAGCGGACUCACAUUUCCUGGCGGAGAUCGAGGCCCCGCCCCGCCUGGCCUAGGCCUGCGCCUUCCCGGCUCGGACGCGCGGACCUCGCCCCAGGUUCCUGGAACCGGGCAAACCGGUCCGGGUGCUGCUUCUGUGGCUCAGCCCUUUCACAGGUUUGCGGAGGCUUUAGCGGGGCGCCUGUCCCUUAGGUCCUGCCGAGAGGAGAGUGGAGGGGAUCUUGGAUGGCCGACACGACUAGAGCCGUCCCUUACUUGCUCUCCUGCAGGGCGAUCCUCUCUGGCCUCAGUUUCCCAUCCGUAAAAGGUGGAGUUAAAAGGACCAGUCUCAAAGGAGAGGUUGCAAAUGAAUCAUUCAUUCACAAAAACCACUUAGCAAGCACCUGCUAGACUCGUCUCUGGCCUCGAAAGGAGGCCCCAGGCCAGAAGAGGAGACAAACCCAGAAACGAGUAUAAAAUUGCUUUGUGAUGUUACAGGGAAAAAAAAAAAAAAAAAGCUCCUAAUCUGAGCGUCCGUAAACAAAGGUCUUGGACCAAAAUGGGGGGCACUUGUAGCUUUGUCUCUCUUCCAGAGGCAGAAUUUUUCUAACUCUGAAACGGUGGCCAAACUGAUUCAAUGCUAUUUAAAUAAGAGGACGAAUCCCUUUGUUUCUCUCUUUUCAGCUUUUAGACUUUCCCUAGUCUUCUGACUGAAGAUAGGCCCUUUCCUGUCUCCUGUGGUAAUAAUGUGUCGUAAACCGUGGCGAAUCUCUGUGCCUAACUAAGAAAGCUGUCUGGACCCUCAUACUGGCUACUGUUUCAGCAGAAUCUUAAGACAUUGUUUUGUUUUCACUGUAGCUUGUAUUAAAGGUUACCUUCUAAGUAUGGUCCGUGAUUAACAAGUGGCUUACGUUCAGAAAAAUUUUUAGGUAAAUAAUAGUACAGUUGUUUUGCAGAUAUGACAAAAAUCCUGGCCAUCAACGGUCUGAAAUUUGGUAAAUUCUAUGCUAAGAGUCAUGGGCAGCCACUGAUUAAAUGCGACAAUAACUACUAAGCACUUAGCACUUGCCUCCCCCAGACAACCGCAUCGACUCUUCCAGGCCUGGGUUGGGCAUUCCUGGGACGGACAUUUGAACACAGAUGCGAACUAGAACAUUAAUUUACCCUUCCAGACGGAUGAAACCAAACUCUGGAGCUGAGCGGGGACGCUGACCCUCAUGCACACGGAGCUGUUGGAGGCAGGAACUAUUUCUCCAGCUCUCUGGGAUGAGCACAGCAUCUGUACCCACAUUGCCACACCAAAUGCCUGUAUUGCUGUAUGCGCCUUUAAAUGGACGGCACUGUUAUUCUGAGUUCUACCAAUAAUAAAAUAACACCGCUUCCGGUG
Long non-coding RNA from Lynx canadensis (Canada lynx), 1420 nucleotides. RefSeq lists it as uncharacterized. NCBI's taxonomy places the organism in Eukaryota, Metazoa, Chordata, Mammalia, Carnivora, Felidae. The record is from RefSeq and is a predicted model, not a curated record. The transcript has 3 exons.